UGCACUUGUUGUGCAAUUCUUUUUGGCAGUGUUUGAAUUACUUCUAGUGCUCAAUCUUGGGUUGGCUUCUUGUUGCUAUGCAAGCUUUUCUGUCAAGUGUACUGCACAACAUUCUGAUCUGAAAGCCAGUUGGCGAGAGUUGCUUGCUUAGAAUGAUAAUACUUUUGAUUUCAUUUUAAAGUUAAAGGAUUGUUUUAUGAAGUGUUGUCCUUAGCCUUAAGGCUCUAAAUAGUGCCAUUUUGGACCACUGAAUGAUCAUCUUUGAUAGAGAAGGAAAAGUGUCUUAUUUGCAGAUUGUCUUUAGAUGACUGACUUAAAGAACGUGCUCUUUGGAUGGGAAAACUUCAGAUCGAGUUGUACCAAGGAUAUCGAGAUCAUUCAGGUGUUGGAUGUUCGUGACCUUAAUAAACACAUGACAGCUUUUAUUAUCUGAGGCUUCAAACCCCACUGCGUGGAAGGAGGGAUGGUGCUAAGUGAGGCAGAAAGGGGAAAUGGGUGAGCUAUUGCUUGUUUGGUUUGCUUAUUUGUUAUAACACUACUCGAGCAUAACUUUCUUCAUGACCUUUUAAAUUAUUUGGUAGUUGAUGUACUUCAUUUGAGAGUGUUUUUAGCCUUGAGAUUUAAUGUGGUCAUUGCAAAAGAAUACUGAUGUGCAGACUGUUAACAGAUUUUUAUUCUGUUGCAACACUGGGGGGUAACGGCACUUGUUGUUUGACACUCGCUGCAUUCUGACA
This 734-nucleotide long non-coding RNA is filed under the name Numida meleagris (helmeted guineafowl). Its description in RNAcentral is "lncRNA (ENSNMEG00000000252.1)". Lineage: Eukaryota; Metazoa; Chordata; Aves; Galliformes; Numididae. The record is from RNAcentral.